GAGACAGAGAGUGAAGCCGUUUGCAGCAGGAAAGGCCUGGGCCCGAUACGAAAUAAAAGUAAUCCAGGGCCCACCUUGCUCGGAGAAUGUGAUCAGGUCACAGAAGCUGAGACCGCUGUGUCAGGCUUGAGGCACUGGAGCUCCACCUGUGGCUUACAUCCUCAGGAUCACGAAAGAAAAGCUCCACCCUCAGCUUAUGUGGAGGAACUUCUCUUUUCUAAAUGAACAUUUUGUCGAGAUACACCAUACCUACAGAAAAGCGCACAAAUCAGUAAGUGUACGUAGUCUGAAGAACUCUAACAGAGGGAAGAAACCAUGUAACCAGAAGCGAAACACCCAAAACCAGAACAGGACCAUCACCUCUGCAGACCCUAUUAAGGUAAUAGAUGCUCACCGUGGAUAACUUGGAAGGUAUAAUGAAGAAAACAAAAAUCACCCAUAAUUCUACCACCCAGAGCCACUAACAUUUCAUUGCAUUUUUUUAUAUUUUUUCUGUGCAUUUAAACUUAGUUGCCCAACCUGUUGUACAUUUGGUUUUAUACACAGUGUUUGUCACCAGAUCUUACAGCGUAAGCACAGACCAUCAUUUAUAAACAUAAUUUAAAAAUCCAGGAUAAUAGUUUAUCAAGUUCCUGUAACCCAGUGUACCUAACAGUUGCCCCGUUGUUGGAUAUUCUGUUUCCUCCAGUUUCGUGCUGUAAUAAAGCUUCCGUGUACAUGUGCA
This is a long non-coding RNA of Felis catus (domestic cat), 724 nucleotides long. RefSeq lists it as uncharacterized. The record is from RefSeq and is a predicted model, not a curated record. NCBI's taxonomy places the organism in Eukaryota, Metazoa, Chordata, Mammalia, Carnivora, Felidae. The transcript has 3 exons.